RNAcentral lists this ribosomal RNA (360 nucleotides) under uncultured bacterium. RNAcentral describes it as "SSU rRNA". It matches the Rfam family "Bacterial small subunit ribosomal RNA", at positions 29 to 416 of the family's 1533-position model. The record is from RNAcentral.
AACGAACGCUGGCGGCAGGCCUAACACAUGCAAGUCGAGCGAGACCUUCGGGUCUAGCGGCGGACGGGUGAGUAACGCGUGGGAAUAUGCCUUUCGGUAUGGAAUAGUCCUGGGAAACUGGGGGUAAUACCAUAUACGCCCUAUUGGGGAAAGAUUUAUCGCCGAAAGAUUAGCCCGCGUUGGAUUAGGUAGUUGGUGGGGUAAUGGCCUACCAAGCCGACGAUCCAUAGCUGGUUUGAGAGGAUGAUCAGCCACACUGGGACUGAGACACGGCCCAGACUCCUACGGGAGGCAGCAGUGGGGAAUCUUAGACAAUGGGGGCAACCCUGAUUUAGCCAUGCCGCGUGAAUGAUGAAGGCC